Molecule: ribosomal RNA, 253 nt
Filed under: uncultured bacterium
Lineage: Bacteria
Description: partial 16S ribosomal RNA
Rfam family: Bacterial small subunit ribosomal RNA
Source: RNAcentral
AACGAAAGGGGCUAGAGUUGAUUGGAAUUACUGGGCGUAAAGCGCACGUAGGCGGCCUUGUAAGAUGGGGGUUAAAUCCCCGGGCUCAACCCGGGAACUGCCUUCAUGACUGCAAAGCUAGAGGAUGCGAGAGGUUAGCGGAAUUCCGAGUGUAGAGGUGAAAUUCGUAGAUAUUCGGAAGAACACCAGUGGCGAAGGCGGCUAACUGGCGCAUUUCUGACGCUGAGGUGCGAAAGCGUUGCGAGCAAGCAGG